AUCUGCUUCGGUCCCCUCUCUCCCUUCUCUGUUCCAAGUAAAAAAGAGGGGGGAAUACAAUGCAGUUUGCGAGUUUUGGCCUCUUAAUAAUAGCUCUGUAACAGUGGUAGAAGUAAUCCUGUUAGACAGUGGAUGCUGUCGAAAGCUGUGGCUGCCACAUUGAAAUUCUUGGAGUAGUUUGCAGUUGCUCAACUCAUGUAGAAAUUAAACAGAAAGACAACAUGGCUUGAUGAAAAAACUGAAAUGCAUUUGGCUUAGAAUCUGAAGGAAACCUCUUUCUAUGCUUGUGCGUAUCUGGCUGCAAAGUACAAACAUGACGGGCUGACGGCUAGUUUAGAAUUCUGCUAUUAAAAUGUGCAGAGCUUAAUCACUUGCAAGGUGCCCUUCCCUUUAUUAACAUUGGAGCUAGUUAUAUUUUGUUAAAAAAAAAUUUGGGUUAGUCUUAUAUGAUUUCAAUGCCUUGUAUUUGGAUGCUGUGAAUCAGGGUUUUGUGCUAUCAUAUUACUUUCUACUGCUCGUGAAACAAUGACUGAAUUACUUAGGAGAAAAUAUGCUGUUGUGAAUGGG
Panicum virgatum (switchgrass) is the source of this 567-nucleotide long non-coding RNA. RefSeq lists it as uncharacterized. The record is from RefSeq and is a predicted model, not a curated record. The transcript is spliced from 2 exons. Lineage: Eukaryota; Viridiplantae; Streptophyta; Magnoliopsida; Poales; Poaceae.